ACGCGAUGAACCUUACCAGCCCUUGACAUGUCCAGGACCGGUCGCAGAGAUGUGACCCUCUCUUCGGAGCCUGGAACACAGGUGCUGCAUGGCUGUCGUCAGCUCGUGUCGUGAGAUGUUGGGUUAAGUCCCCGCAACGAGCGCAACCCCCGUCCCCUAGGUUCGCUUACGAUUUUGCAUACGUUAGUUAAGGUUCAGCAGCACUUCCUUAAAAGGGGAAGGAACCUUGGCCCCGGGGUGAUAAGCCCGC
RNAcentral lists this ribosomal RNA (250 nucleotides) under uncultured bacterium. RNAcentral's name for it is "partial 16S ribosomal RNA". It matches the Rfam family "Bacterial small subunit ribosomal RNA", at positions 959 to 1155 of the family's 1533-position model. The record is from RNAcentral.